CGCGGGAUGGAGCAGUUCGGUAGCUCGUCGGGCUCAUAACCCGGAGGUCGUUGGUUCGAAUCCAACUCCCGCAA
RNAcentral lists this transfer RNA (74 nucleotides) under Lacicoccus qingdaonensis. RNAcentral describes it as "Salinicoccus qingdaonensis tRNA_Met_CAT". It matches the Rfam family "tRNA". From Rfam's summary of the family: Transfer RNA (tRNA) molecules are approximately 80 nucleotides in length. Lineage: Bacteria; Bacillati; Bacillota; Bacilli; Caryophanales; Salinicoccaceae. The record is from RNAcentral. RNAcentral also lists the same sequence under 1 other name.